UAAAACUUUACGUUCUGGUAUUUAUUUUUUUAAAUAUUAUACUUGAAAUGAAUUAGUGGAGCAAUAUGAAACAGAACACAAUGGGUUUAUCAAGGUUAGAAACCGAGCAAGAAAAUCCGUAAAUGAUAACUUCAGUGUCAAACAAAUGGAAACAGUAAUAAAUGAAAAGAACUGAGAUUUAUAAAUGAUGGUGACAAAUUCUGAAAUUGAAUCAAUGGCUAUUGAACUAAAAGAGAAGAAUCAACAACAAAUACCUAAAUACCCAG
Diuraphis noxia (Russian wheat aphid) is the source of this 266-nucleotide long non-coding RNA. The record is from RefSeq and is a predicted model, not a curated record. Lineage: Eukaryota; Metazoa; Arthropoda; Insecta; Hemiptera; Aphididae.